GAGUUUGAUCCUGGCUCAGGACGAACGCUGACGGUGUGCUUUAGGCAUGCAAGUCGAACGAGAAAGCCCUUCGGGGUUAGUAAAGUGGCGAACGGGUGAGUAACACGUGGGCAACCUGCCCCUCGCAGGGGGACAACCGGAGGAAACUCCGGCUAAUACCCCGUACGCUUGUUGGAUCGCAUGGUCCGGCAAGGAAAGGUAGCUUCGGCCAUCCGGCGAGGGAUGGGCCCGCGUUGCAUUAGCUAGUUGGUGGGGUAACGGCCCACCAAGGCAACGAUGCGUAGCUGGUCUGAGAGGAUGAUCAGCCACACUGGGACUGAGACACGGCCCAGACUCCUACGGGAGGCAGCAGCCAGGAAUCUUGGGCAAUGGGCGAAAGCCUGACCCAGCAACACCGUGUGGGUGACGAAGGCCUUAGGGUCGUAAAGCCCUGUUGAUAGGGACGAAGGGCAAAGGGUUAAUAGCCCCCAGCUUGACGGUACCUUUCGAGGAAGCCCCGGCUAACUACGUGCCAGCAGCCGCGGUAAUACGUAGGGGGCGAGCGUUGUCCGGAAUUAUUGGGCGUAAAGAGCGUGUAGGCGGUUCGGUAAGUCUGCUGUGAAAUCCUAGGGCUCAACCCUGGGCGUGCAGCGGAUACUGCCGGGCUAGAGGGUGGUAGAGGCGAGUGGAAUUCCGAGUGUAGCGGUGAAAUGCGCAGAUAUUCGGAGGAACACCAGUAGCGAAGUCGGCUCGCUGGGCCACACCUGACGCUGAGACGCGAAAGCGUGGGGAGCGAACAGGAUUAGAUACCCUGGUAGUCCACGCCGUAAACGAUGGAUACUGGGUGUGG
Molecule: ribosomal RNA, 829 nt
Filed under: uncultured bacterium
Lineage: Bacteria
Description: bacterial SSU rRNA
Rfam family: Bacterial small subunit ribosomal RNA
Source: RNAcentral